This is a non-coding RNA of Python bivittatus (Burmese python), 945 nucleotides long. The record is from RefSeq and is a predicted model, not a curated record. Lineage: Eukaryota; Metazoa; Chordata; Lepidosauria; Squamata; Pythonidae.
GGUUGCACACUGGGAUUUUUCCGAAGGAGCAAAAGAGCGCGUGACAUCUCUGAGCACCUUGCCUCUCUAGGACUCUGCAUUCCCUCUCCUUGACCCCUACAUUUGAGUCCCCAGAAAGCAAAAAGGCUGAAGGAAGGUCCUGCAGAGAUGGGAAUCCAGUUGGGACUCUGUAUAGUGAGCGGGGGGCUCUUCUGGUGGGAAGGGAAGCAAAAGUGGAGGGGGGAGAGAGAGGCCAAGCGCUCGUCCAGUGCUUCUGAGUCCUAGGAGUCCCUAGCCCCAUGUUCCCCUGCUGCUCCUUUGCAGGCAUAUGGCAAGGAGAGGGCAGAGCAAAGUGCCAGACCAGCCAGGCUGCCAGGAGGAUCUCCAGGAGCCGACAAGGGGAGCCAUUCAUCCCCCACCCCUAUUUCCUGGGAAAGCCUCUGAGUGGGAGGAGAGGGCGAGGUGUGCGUUGCUGUAAUGCUGUGUGAGAGACACCUCGAGAAACAGGGCGAAGAGAUGUUGCCCAGGGGACAAUCAGAUUUGUAAGCUGGAAACCUCUUGUGUCUCCUUCUCUGGAGUCCAAAGUCAAAAAUAACUGAAGCAAGGAGGACUGAAUGGCCUGGUGAAACUCAUCCAGGGCCUCUUUGUGCACUUGAAAAGAUCCAGGGAAUUUUUUGACCCCACUGGAGCUGUGUUAGAGGGCAGAGAGAAAAUGGAGGCUAAAAGACACAUGAAAGCUGAAAGGUGAUCCUGGAGCAGUUUCUGGCUGUCCUGCCCUUGUAGAUGGAGAGCUGGGUCCAGGAGUGUGGACCGGAGACCAGCUCCCAGGCGGUGGCCCUGGCUGAAGGAUUCCUCCUGAGCCAAGCAGAGGAGCAGAAGGAGCAGGAAGAGCUGCAGAUGAGAGACCUUCAUCUGGCAAACUCAAAAUGGAAUUUAAAAUAAUAAACAACAGUCUGUUUGAAUUCU